GACGAAAAUAACGAUACGGGACUCAUCCGAGGCCCCGUAAUCGGAAUGAGUACACUUUAAAUCCUUUAACGAGGAUCCAUUGGAGGGGCAAGUCUGGUGCCAGCAGCCGCGGUAAUUCCAGCUCCAAUAGCGUAUAUUAAAGUUGUUGCGGUUAAAAAGCUCGUAGUUGAAUCUGUGUGCCACAAUGUCGGUCCGCCGCUCGCGGUGGUUACUUGCAUACCGUGGGACGUCCUACCGGUGGACUUAGCCCUUCGGGGCGGUCCAACUAAUAUCCCAUCGCGGUGCUCUUCAUUGAGUGUCGAGAUGGGCCGGUACGUUUACUUUGAACAAAUUAGAGUGCUUAAAGCAGGCUACUUUCGCCUGAAUACUGUGUGCAUGGAAUAAUGGAAUAGGACCUCGGUUCUAUUUUGUUGGUUUUCGGAACCCCGAGGUAAUGAUUAAUAGGGACAGAUGGGGGCAUUCGUAUUGCGACGUUAGAGGUGAAAUUCUUGGAUCGUCGCAAGACGGACAGAAGCGAAAGCAUUUGCCAAAAAUGUUUUCAUUAAUCAAGAACGAAAGUUAGAGGUUCGAAGGCGAUCAGAUACCGCCCUAGUUCUAACCAUAAACGAUGCCAGCUAGCGAUCCGCCGAAGUUCCUCCGAUGACUCGGCGGGCAGCUUCCGGGAAACCAAAGCUUUUGGGUUCCGGGGGAAGUAUGGUUGCAAAGCUGAAACUUAAAGGAAUUGACGGAAGGGCACCACCAGGAGUGGAGCCUGCGGCUUAAUUUGACUCAACACGGGAAACCUCACCAGGCCCGGACACCGGAAGGAUUGACAGAUUGAUAGCUCUUUCUUGAUUCGGUGGGUGGUGGUGCAUGGCCGUCUUAGUGGU
RNAcentral lists this ribosomal RNA (869 nucleotides) under Allobethylus tomoae. RNAcentral describes it as "SSU rRNA". It matches the Rfam family "Eukaryotic small subunit ribosomal RNA", at positions 469 to 1302 of the family's 1831-position model. Lineage: Eukaryota; Metazoa; Arthropoda; Insecta; Hymenoptera; Bethylidae. The record is from RNAcentral.